CCUACGGGAGGCAGCAGUGAGGAAUAUUGGUCAAUGGGCGCGAGCCUGAACCAGCCACGUAGCGUGAAGGAUGACUGCCCUACGGGUUGUAAACUUCUUUUAUAAAGGAGUAAAGUGAGGCACGUGUGCCUUUUUGUAUGUACUUUAUGAAUAAGGAUCGGCUAACUCCGUGCCAGCAGCCGCGGUAAUACGGAGGAUCCGAGCGUUAUCCGGAUUUAUUGGGGUUAAAGGGAGCGUAGAUGGGUUGUUAAGUCAGUUGUGAAAGUUUGCGGCUUAACCGUAAAAUUGCAAUUGAUACUGGUAGUCUUGAGUACAGUUGAGGUAGGCGGAAUUCGUGGUGUAGGGGUGAAAUGCGUAGAGAUCACGAAGAAUUCUGAUUGCGAAGGCAACUUACUAAACUGCCACUGACAUUGAUGCUCGAAAGUGUGGGUAGCAAACAGGAUUAGAUACCCCAGUAGUC
RNAcentral lists this ribosomal RNA (460 nucleotides) under uncultured bacterium. RNAcentral's name for it is "partial 16S ribosomal RNA". It matches the Rfam family "Bacterial small subunit ribosomal RNA", at positions 338 to 795 of the family's 1533-position model. The record is from RNAcentral.